This 270-nucleotide ribosomal RNA is filed under the name uncultured bacterium. RNAcentral's name for it is "partial 16S ribosomal RNA". It matches the Rfam family "Bacterial small subunit ribosomal RNA", at positions 29 to 298 of the family's 1533-position model. The record is from RNAcentral.
AACGAACGCUGGCGGCAGGCUUAACACAUGCAAGUCGAGCGCCCUCUAUUUUCAGCAAUGAGGAUGGCGGGAGCGGCAGACGGGUGAGUAACGCGUGGGAACAUACCCUUUGGUUCGGAAUAACUCAGGGAAACUUGAGCUAAUGCCGGAUACGCCCCGGGAUGAGAGUCUGGGGGGAAAGAUUCAUUGCCGGAGGAUUGGCCCGCGUUCGAUUAGCUUGUUGGUGGGGUAACGGCUCACCAAGGCGACGAUCGAUAGCUGGUCUGAGAG